AAACAUGGAGGAGCUUCCGUGCGUUGCAGGUUCCUGCCGCGCUGUCUUCUGUGUUGAUACGUGGCUGUCUCCUUGUCACGCGGUUAACUGUGUAGUGGUGUACUAAGUGUUGAGUUCCCGUGGGUUCGAUGAAGACCAACAAGAACUUAAGUGUCAUGUAAUGAAGGAAGGAAGGUGAUAUUAAAGACAGGAAAGAAAAUCGAAGUUGGCCUGCAUCAUCUCGCCAGUCUCCUGAAAUAUGAACAGAAAAUGCCGACGUGACGCGACUGGAGAGUGUGACGCGCCUCCCUCGCUCUGUUUAGAUUCAAGUUGAUGCACAUGAAGAUAAAAAGUCAUAAAUGGAUCGGCGCGGCUGAGGGAGCUGUGUGCCAUUAAGUGCCAGACGUACUGCUCCUCUUGUGUGUCAGUGCCGCUCCUCAACGCCUCCCUUCGGUGCCAUCCCGUGGAGAAAGAUGACAGCCGAGGUGUUACUCUGUCAGAUUCCCGUCAGUACACAUCGACUCAGCAGCGAGAUAGCGUGACUCAGACCAGGAGUCCAUUAGUGACUGCCGCGCCUCAAGUCCCACCGGCGGAUCCUUCCCCUACCUUGUUCAGCAGG
Molecule: long non-coding RNA, 598 nt
Organism: Scylla paramamosain (green mud crab)
Lineage: Eukaryota; Metazoa; Arthropoda; Malacostraca; Decapoda; Portunidae
Exons: 6
Source: RefSeq, a predicted model, not a curated record